AUACGAAGGGGGCUAGCGUUGUUCGGAUUUACUGGGCGUAAAGCGCACGUAGGCGGAUUGAUCAGUUAGGGGUGAAAUCCCGAGGCUCAACCUCGGAACUGCCUUUAAUACUGUCAGUCUAGAGACCGGAAGAGGUGAGUGGAACUCCUAGUGUAGAGGUGGAAUUCGUAGAUAUUAGGAAGAACACCAGUGGCGAAGGCGGCUCACUGGUCCGGUACUGACGCUGAGGUGCGAAAGCGUGGGGAGCAAACAGGAUUAGAAACCCCAGUAGUCC
This 274-nucleotide ribosomal RNA is filed under the name uncultured bacterium. RNAcentral's name for it is "partial 16S ribosomal RNA". It matches the Rfam family "Bacterial small subunit ribosomal RNA", at positions 523 to 796 of the family's 1533-position model. The record is from RNAcentral.